Molecule: transfer RNA, 71 nt
Filed under: Bos taurus (domestic cattle)
Lineage: Eukaryota; Metazoa; Chordata; Mammalia; Artiodactyla; Bovidae
Also listed under: 1 other name
Rfam family: tRNA
About the family: Transfer RNA (tRNA) molecules are approximately 80 nucleotides in length. Their secondary structure includes four short double-helical elements and three loops (D, anti-codon, and T loops). Further hydrogen bonds mediate the characteristic L-shaped molecular structure. tRNAs have two regions of fundamental functional importance: the anti-codon, which is responsible for specific mRNA codon recognition, and the 3' end, to which the tRNAs corresponding amino acid is attached (by aminoacyl-tRNA synthetases). tRNAs cope with the degeneracy of the genetic code in two manners: having more than one tRNA (with a specific anti-codon) for a particular amino acid; and 'wobble' base-pairing, i.e. permitting non-standard base-pairing at the 3rd anti-codon position.
Source: Rfam by way of RNAcentral
UCCCGGGUGGCUCAGUGGCAAAGCAUCUGCCUGCAAUUCAGGAGACCUGGGUUCGAUCCCUGGGUCAGGAA